AGUUUGAGUCCUUUCCUUGUGUGAUCCAUGACUACAGUGUUUGGUCAAGAAACCUCGGACUAUCCUGCACCUUAAGGUGACUCUUCAGGGUUUGGACGAGUUGGAGUGCUUUCCUUGUAUGAUCCAUGACUACAGUGUUUGGUCAAGAAACCCCGGACCAUCCUGCACCUUCAGGUGACUCUUCAGGGUAUGGACGAGUUGGAGUCCUUUCCUUGUAUGAUCCAUGACUACAGUGUUUGGUCAAAAAACCCCGGACUAUCCUGCACCUUAAGGUGACUCUUCAGGGUUUGGACGAGUUCGUGUAAUUCCCAUCUAUGAUCCAUGACUACAUUUGUUCAGCGUUUGGUCAAGAAACCUCGGACUAUCUUGCACCUUAAGGUGACUCUUAAGGGUUUGGAAAAGUUAGUGCCCCUCCCUUUUAUGAUCCAUGACUACAUAUGUACAGCGUAUUGUCAAGAAACCCC
Molecule: long non-coding RNA, 464 nt
Organism: Saccostrea cuccullata (small rock oyster)
Lineage: Eukaryota; Metazoa; Mollusca; Bivalvia; Ostreida; Ostreidae
Exons: 5
Source: RefSeq, a predicted model, not a curated record